Molecule: ribosomal RNA, 440 nt
Filed under: uncultured bacterium
Lineage: Bacteria
Description: bacterial SSU rRNA
Rfam family: Bacterial small subunit ribosomal RNA
Source: RNAcentral
CCUACGGGAGGCAGCAGUGGGGAAUUGUUCGCAAUGGGCGCAAGCCUGACGACGCAACGCCGCGUGGAGGAUGAAGGUCUUCGGAUUGUAAACUCCUGUUGAUCGGGACGAAUGGGCCCCGGCCUAAUACGCCGGGGCAGUGACGGUACCGAUUGAGGAAGCCACGGCUAACUCUGUGCCAGCAGCCGCGGUAAUACAGAGGUGGCAAGCGUUGUUCGGAAUUACUGGGCGUAAAGGGCGCGUAGGUGGCCUUUUAAGUCGGACGUGAAAUCCCCAGGCUUAACUUGGGAACUGCGUCCGAUACUGGAAGGCUCGAGUUCGGGAGAGGGAUGUGGAAUUCCAGGUGUAGCGGUGAAAUGCGUAGAUAUCUGGAGGAACACCGGUGGCGAAGGCGGCAUCCUGGACCGAAACUGACACUGAGGCGCGAAAGCCAGGGGAGC